AACGAACGCUGGCGGCAUGCCUAACACAUGCAAGUCGAACGAGACCUUCGGGUCUAGUGGCGCACGGGUGCGUAACGCGUGGGAACCUGCCCUUAGGUUCGGAAUAACUCCCCGAAAGGGGUGCUAAUACCGGAUAAUGUCUUCGGACCAAAGAUUUAUCGCCUUUGGAUGGGCCCGCGUUGGAUUAGCUAGUUGGUAGGGUAAAAGCCUACCAAGGCGACGAUCCAUAGCCGGUCUGAGAGGAUGAUCAGCCACACUGGGACUGAGACACGGCCCAGACUCCUACGGGAGGCAGCAGUGGGGAAUAUUGGACAAUGGGCGAAAGCCUGAUCCAGCAAUGCCGCGUGAGUGAUGAAGGCCUUAGGGUUGUAAAGCUCUUUUAACCGGGAUGAUAAUGACAGUACCGGGAGAAUAAGCUCCGGCUAACUCCGUG
This 433-nucleotide ribosomal RNA is filed under the name uncultured bacterium. Its description in RNAcentral is "partial 16S ribosomal RNA". It matches the Rfam family "Bacterial small subunit ribosomal RNA", at positions 29 to 507 of the family's 1533-position model. The record is from RNAcentral.